ACAAAGAUUUUAUAAAUUCCAAAUAUGUACAAGUAAUGAAGCUAAAGAUUAAUUAUUACAAAUUCCAACAUGCAUUUUAUUCAUGAAAGCAACUUAACAUAGAGCGAAGAAAUGAACACAUGGAGGCGUUGGUGAAAACUAUAGGAUGACAUGACUUGGUGAAACAACUUGUGCUAGCACCAAGAUCCAAACACCACCAAGAAUGUGCAAGCACAGAGACAGACAUAUGGUGGCAACAACUGAAGACUUUGCACUAACAUAUCUCACUAUCUCAAGACCACCUUCAACGACAGCUUCUUGAGCAACCUUGACACAUUUUUUCAUGUCUUGACAUACCAUCUCCAACAAAACUUCAAGGAAUGCUCUAACUAUUUCGAAUGCAAUCCUUCCACUCAUAUCAACAACAAAUUUCUUAUUUCUUGGCUCUGAUAAAGUUGAUGACACUUUUCUAACCCACCCAUCAUCAUCAUUAUCAUCAUCAUUGACAUCAUCAGGUGAGUCCUUUGAACUAUUAGAAUGUGUCAAAACUUGAUGAGAUAUUUUGACAAGAGCCUCCAUUGCACCAUUAGAAGUAGUGAUCAACAAGUUCCUCAGUUGUGUUGCAUGGUUGGGGUUAGUCAACCCUGCAAAGAGCUCAUCAAAAGUGUUGGCAUCUUUAGUCUUUUCAAGAUAAACGCCCACCAUAGAGUUAACAAAAACUUGAAUACAAUCACCAAUCAGCUCCCUAAACUCAUCACCACACACCAAAUUCAGCCAGCACGGAGUCAAAUUUGAGUUCGAAUCUCCUUUAGAUUGCAGUUCUUUACAUGCUGCCAUAACCAGAUUCCUAGCAAAGCUUUCAACAUUAGCGGAAGCAAAACCAGCACCAGUUUCAGUAAAAAGCUUAUCCAUAACUUGAUCCAUUGAACGAGAUUUGGCAUUUAAGGUAUCACCACUUCUUGCCUCCGAUUGAUAACCACGUAAAAUUCCCACAGUCAGGCCUUGUGUAACCCUUGCUAUGGACUGUGAAAAUUCAUUGGACUUGGUGAUUUUCGAAACUUGUUUCAAAGUAUUAGGAAUUUGGUCUAAUUUUGAUAAGAGAAAACCAUUCAAAUCAUUAGAAACAACUCUUAUUAUUUUAGCACAAUCAGAGAUGGCUUAAGUAAUGGAAACCAAAGCUCCUAAAAGCUUUAAAACUCUGUUUCUCUUUUGAGCUAUAGCAGGAAAGUGAUAAACUCUAUAGAAACCAUAACUGGUUAAACCAAAAAUCGCCAUUAAAGCAACCCAUUUCUUCUUCUUUUGGGAAAAAUCCAAACCCUUUAAAGCCAAUUACAGCUCCAUAAGUUGCUAAGACAAAACUCUUCGAAAAAAGCCAAGAAAACUCACCUCAAACUCAAAUGAAGUCUCCCUCUUCCUUCAAAUGAAGUCUUCUAGCCCACAUAUAUAAAAGAAAAUAAGCAAAGUUUUUUUUUUUCAAUCUAAGGUAAAUGGUUAUUACAAGUACAAAGAACAUGAAAAGGAAUAGAUAAAAACAGAAACAAGAUCAAACUUAAACUAUAUUGUAGAAUGCAAAGACGUCAAAGCAGUUGCAGAAUAAUAGAGCAGUCUGUCGCAGGGAUAAUAUUUGAUUUGCAUAUAAUAUUUAUUUAUGCAAAAAAAAAAAAAAAAGAAAGAGAGGAAUGAUAAGCAAAUUCAAGCAUUCAUUAUUAGGUUUUUGAAGUUUUUAAGUUUCAACGACCACCAGAAAAUUUACAACACGUUUGGUUGGCAUGAAUAGACAAACUAUUCCUGGAUGAUUCGGUGAUAAGCAGCUAUUCAUUAGUUUGGUUCACUGAAUCCUCCAUUCGACAGAAUUUCAUUCAUCUCCCAUUCCGCCUCUUCCCGUAAUAGCCAUUCCCCACCUGAUUUAAAGAAUAGCAAUACAGAGCCUCCACCGAAUAAGAAAAAAAACAUAACCUCCCAUUCUUACCCUUUACCACUCUCCCUCAGCAAACAUCUUAAGCCACCACACCCCAACCCUGUCUCCUAGUUCUCGUUUAGUUAUUCUCAUCCCACGACCAUCAUCGACAGAAAUCUCGACAUUAUAAAAAGCAUCCCCAAAGUUGAGACGAGUAAGGUUAUUAUUCCCCUCAAUCUCACCUCCAUUGCUCACAUGCUCAAACUUAUGAUACUUUGAAGGGCAACAGUGGUGGUCAAUCAUGUAUGCUCAACCUAUCAGAAGAUAAUAUCCUGGACACUGUGGGAGUCAUUUGUGUUGACACUGAAAGAAAUAUAGCAUAGGAGCCUCCAGUGGUGGUAUUGCACUGAAGGUCUCUGGUCGUGUGGGAUUAGCAGCAAUGUAUGGUGCAGGCUGUUGGGCCUCCUCAAAAGGACCCUUUGGGGCUCGUUUCAUAGUUGGUUGUUGUGUUAGCGGUGCUGGAGAAUACCUAAUGAAAGGAUUUUUAGCUCGGGAGUGCUGUGUCUCAUCGUCACUCUCACAGGCAGGUCCUGCCUCUGCUUGCAUGAAAGUUCUUUGCUUUGUUACUCAAGAUAGUAAUCAAGCUGAUACUGAUAAAAGUGUUGGGAUUUUAAUCGUGCAAGCGGAUGCUCCUAUCAGGGUUCCAGGAAAUCCUCCAAAACUGAAAGUUAUAGAAAUUGCAGCUGCGUACUCAUCCUUGUCUUUUGGGAUAGUAUAUUUUGGAAGUGGCAUGGAAAGGCCUAAGGUUUCUAUUCUUAGAAGAAGUAAACAGCAGAAUAGAAGUGGAAUUGAUCAUUUUGAAGCUCAAGUUGAUGUUUCUACAUGACUGAUUUUUGUUUAACCUAUUUUUUCAAGGAUAAAUUAUCAUAUCAAAUCAAAUCAAA
Molecule: RNA transcript, 2820 nt
Organism: Gossypium arboreum
Lineage: Eukaryota; Viridiplantae; Streptophyta; Magnoliopsida; Malvales; Malvaceae
Gene name: putative threonine aspartase
Exons: 6
Source: RefSeq, a predicted model, not a curated record